RNAcentral lists this ribosomal RNA (305 nucleotides) under uncultured bacterium. RNAcentral's name for it is "bacterial SSU rRNA". It matches the Rfam family "Bacterial small subunit ribosomal RNA", at positions 337 to 639 of the family's 1533-position model. The record is from RNAcentral.
ACCUACGGGGGGGCAGCAGUGAGGAAUAUUGGCCAAUGGUCGGGAGACUGAACCAGCCAAGCCGCGUGAGGGAUGAAGGUACAGAGUAUCGUAAACCUCUUUUGUCAGGGAACAAAGGCGGGGACGUGUCCCCGGAUGAGUGUACCUGAAGAAAAAGCAUCGGCUAACUCCGUGCCAGCAGCCGCGGUAAUACGGAGGAUGCGAGCGUUAUCCGGAUUUAUUGGGUUUAAAGGGUGCGCAGGCGGUCUGUUAAGUCAGCGGUCAAAGCCCGGGGCUCAACCCCGGCCCGCCGUUGAAACUGGCAG